Regulatory RNA element from Burkholderia sp., 117 nucleotides. It matches the Rfam family "ALIL pseudoknot". Lineage: Bacteria; Pseudomonadati; Pseudomonadota; Betaproteobacteria; Burkholderiales; Burkholderiaceae. The record is from Rfam.
GGCGUAUUUCGCACAGGCGGAGCUCGACCGCCGACCGAAGUGAUGAUCACGUUCAUCGAUGAUCACCGGCAGGUCUACGGGGUCGAGCCGAUCUGCAGGGUGCUGCCGAUCGCACCG